UACAGAGGGGGCAAGCGUUAUUCGGAAUUAUUGGGCGUAAAGGGCGCGUAGGCGGCUUUUCAAGUGACGGGUGAAAUCCCUCGGCUUAACCGAGGAACUGCCCGUCAGACUGGAAGGCUUGAGACCGGGAGAGGUGAGUGGAAUUCCCAGUGUAGCGGUGAAAUGCGUAGAUAUUGGGAGGAACACCAGUGGCGAAGGCGGCUCACUGGACUGGUACUGACGCUGAGGCGCGAAAGCGUGGGGAGCAAACGGG
RNAcentral lists this ribosomal RNA (253 nucleotides) under uncultured bacterium. RNAcentral describes it as "partial 16S ribosomal RNA". It matches the Rfam family "Bacterial small subunit ribosomal RNA", at positions 524 to 776 of the family's 1533-position model. The record is from RNAcentral.